This 316-nucleotide ribosomal RNA is filed under the name uncultured Bacillota bacterium. Its description in RNAcentral is "bacterial SSU rRNA". It matches the Rfam family "Bacterial small subunit ribosomal RNA", at positions 28 to 351 of the family's 1533-position model. The record is from RNAcentral. Lineage: Bacteria; Bacillati; Bacillota.
GACGAACGCUGGCGGCGUGCCUCAUACAUGCAAGUCGAGCGGAUGCAGCAAUGCAUUAGCGGCGGACGGGUGAGUAACACGUGGGCAACCUGGCCUUAAGAGGGGGAUAACGUCCCGAAAGGGACGCUAAUACCGCGUAAAUCAGCGAAAUCGCAUGAUUUUGUUGGAAAAGGAGUAAUCCGCUUAAGGAUGGGCCCGCGGCCUAUUAGCUAGUUGGUAGGGUAAUGGCCUACCAAGGCGACGAUAGGUAGCCGACCUGAGAGGGUGAACGGCCACACUGGAACUGAGAAACGGUCCAGACUCCUACGGGUGGCUG